Molecule: ribosomal RNA, 603 nt
Filed under: uncultured Francisella sp.
Lineage: Bacteria; Pseudomonadati; Pseudomonadota; Gammaproteobacteria; Thiotrichales; Francisellaceae
Description: bacterial SSU rRNA
Rfam family: Bacterial small subunit ribosomal RNA
Source: RNAcentral
CUGGUGGUUGCCUACACAUGCACGUCGAACGGAGCAAUAUUUGCUUGCAAAUUAUUGCUUAGUGGCGGACGGGUGAGUAACGCGUAGGAAUCUGCCUUAUGGUGGGGGACAACAGUUGGAAACGGCUGCUAAUACCGCAUAUUAUUUUCGAAUAAAAGGUGGCACUUAGGUGCUGUCGCCAUGAGAUGAGCCUGCGUUGGAUUAGCUAGUUGGUGGGGUAAGGGCUUACCAAGGCUGUGAUCCAUAGCUGUUCUGAGAGGAAGAUCAGCCACACUGGGACUGAGACACGGCCCAGACUCCUACGGGAGGCAGCAGUGGGGAAUAUUGGACAAUGGGGGCAACCCUGAUCCAGCAAUACCAUGUGUGUGAAGAAGGCCUUAGGGCUGUAAAGCACUUUAGUUCGUGAGGAAGGCUAUCAGGUUAAGAGCUAGAUAGUUUGACGUUAGCGAAAGAAUAAGCACCGGCUAACUCCGUGCCAGCAGCCGCGGUAAUACGGAGGGUGCGAGCGUUAAUCGGAAUUACUGGGCGUAAAGGGUUCGUAGGUGGUUAGAUAAGUCAGAUGUGAAAGCCCUGGGCUCAACCUGGGAACAGCGCUUGAUACUG